CUGGCUCCUGGCUGUGUCCUGAAUGGCUCCUGGGCCUGGUGGUGCCUGGGUUCGUAGAGUUACAGCAUCGUUUGAGUUGGAAGGGACCCUUAGAGGCCAUCUGGUUCCACUCCCUGCGCUGAACAGGGACACUCGCAGCUCCAUCAGUGCUCAGAGCCCAUCCAGCCUGACCUUGAUGUCUGCAGGGAAUGGGACACCACCACCUCUCUGUUCCAGUGUCUCACUGCCCUGGGUUCCUGCUCUGCUGGGCAGCCACGGGUCACAGUGAGUAGCUGGAUCGUGCUUUCUAUUUAUUUCCAUGGAAACCGCAGUAGGUAAGAAUACAAUAACAUAUAAUGGGAUAUUGGUGGAAAGGUUCAACCUCUACUGCUGUAACACUACCAUCUGCCUCUGACAUUGUGGGCUGGCAUAGUAAAAUAGAAGGCAUCACUUUUGGAGCAGCCAUCAUACAAGCUUGUUCUUCUCUGGGUUAUGGGUCCUGAAGCACUGCUCUGGGACAUGUGGGCACCAUCUAGAUACGGAUGACUCUUGGCUAAGGUAGGAUUGCAGGUGAUGAGCAAAAGGUUCUGUUUGUGGGGCUUACCCCUCUAUAAUUCCUGCAGGGAUUUCAAUGCUCGGAUGGUGUUACUACUUUGCCUUUCCUCAAGGCUACAGGAGCAGGAAACCACACAGCUUGUGGUGCCCCCCUGGUCCCUACAGUUGUCCCCUGCCACUGUGAGGAUGUGUUUGGGCUCUGCUUUGUGGGAUAAUGGAUGGGACUGUCAGGCCUGUUGUCCCAACAACCCAAGAAGACAAAUGGUCCUACGUGUGCAGCAACCUUCACUGGCCCUGCACCCCAGAAGGAAGCAGCCCCAUGAUGGAUGGGCUGAAGAGCAGCACUGACACAACUGGGGCAGUGUGGAUGUCAGAGGGUGAGAACCACAUCCCUCUCCUUUCCGCUUGGCACCCCAGUGCCUCUGGGCCAGGCAGCUGUUGCUUAUCACCUCCCUUGGUUAUUGAUGGAAGCUGGCAGCACGAGAGCCCUGUCUAGGAGAAAGACACUAGUCAUGGUCCUAAUGUUGCUCUGCAGAGCUGCCAUCUGUCCUCUCCUUGGAUGCUGGUAACGUAUCUGAGCAUAUCAGCGCUGAGUUAAGUUUCUGGCUAGACUCAACUUUGCUCCCCUAUCUUCCUUUUCAGAAGGGAAGAUCCCAGACUGGCUCUUCAGGAUCUGGUUCCUGGGCUGUCCCUUCAUCUUCUGUCAUGCUGAGGAGCAGUACAGAAGUCUGAGGACUGGACCUGAUCAGCAAGAGCAGGAGUCCUAUGGAAUGGCUCCCAUCAGUGUGCAGGGAGGAUGCUCUGGACCAGCAACAGCCAACAGAACCCCUGAGUGUUCAUCCUCCAGAAGUCAACGCAGCUCCUGCCUCCUUCAACACUACAGCGGGAGCAGAAUUCAUUGCCUGCAUCCUUAUGGACAAGGACCAUACCCUGGGCCUACUUGUGUUGGGGUGGCAGUCCUGCUUAGACCUGCAUGCUGCUCAGGAGCUGUGGAGUUUACCCGUCUGCCUUCUCCCUGUACCAGCAGUGUCUCCACCAAGCCAGCCUGAAGCAAAGGAUGCAAAUGGCCCCACCUGGAGGUAAUCGUUCCCAGGUGAUGAUCCCCAGGGGCUGCCUUGCCAAGCCCUGCCAGUGCUGCAGGCAGACAGGGGCUCGCUUGGAUUCCAGCGCUGAGCUGGUCGGUGCCAAAGCCCAUUUGCAUCACUGUGAAAAAUGGUAAAAUCAUCGUUAGGUGUUCACUAAAAUACUCUAAAUUUUGCAGAACAUGAGGCGUGAGUCAGGCAUUGAGACCAGCAUCCAGAGGAGGGAGGGAGUGGGAAGAGGCGGCAGGAGUGCUUAUGAAAUAUUUUGUUUCACUGGCAAGAGGACAAGAAAUAAUUGGGCCCUAAAUCAAGGAAAUGGGAGAAAAGGAACAGCAAAUCAAGGGAAAUGGUGGAAAAUUAGGUCUUAGAGUAGAGAAAUGUGUACACAUGAUCACCUGGUAGUUCUGGCAAAGAUAUAUGCCUAUAAAUCUCCUUUUUUUAACCUUUUCUCUGCUGCUUCAAGGGGAUUAGCAUCAGAAGUGCUCAUCCCAUCCAUCUUUUCUAGAUGUGACUGGCAGUGCACCCCGGGGGCUGUGGGCAGCCUGGGAGCAGGAACCCCACUGCACAGACCCUCCCUGUGCAUGCAGAGGUGUAGAACCAUAGAAUUAUUUGAGUAGAAAGGGACCCUUCAAGGCCAUCUGGUCCCACUGCCUGCACUGAGCAGGGACACCCACAGCUCCAUCAGUGCCCACAGCCCAUCCAGCCUGCCCUUGAUGUCUGCAGGGAUGGGGCACCACCACCACUCUGGGCAGCCUGUGCCACUGCCUCACCGCCCUUCUUGUUACAAAACUCUUUCGUUCUAUCCAGUCUAAAUCUCCUCUCCUUUAGUUUGAACCCAUUUCCCCUUGCCCUGUCACAACAGACCCUGCUAAGCUGUCUGUCUCCUUCUUUCUAACAGCGAGUCCACGCCAUCUCAACCUCGGAGACCCAGGGCCAUUUAGGAUGCCCCAGCAGUCUGCUCCAGCCCCAAACCUGUCGCCCUGCAUUUAAACAACCCCCCGACUCCCCCACUCCAAGUCCCUGGCUUAACAAAAAGAAUGAAAUAUACAGAUAAAGCUUUCUGUGUUUGCUUUCCCCAGCCCUCCCUCCCACUGCACGGUGCUCAUUAGCUCCCCGAACGCUCGAGUCAGACGUGGCCUCUGGUUAAAAACAGCAUCCGCCCUCGUGCCUUGCCUGUUUCCCAGGAGCUGGCAGCCAGACAAUAACACCGAUGGGAUCGUCUUCAUCAGAACAUGUCAGCCCCUCCGUGAAAUUUAAGUAACUGCAACUUGGAGGCAGAAAAUGAUAAAGGAAAAAAAAAAAAAAAAAA
Gallus gallus (chicken) is the source of this 2925-nucleotide long non-coding RNA. RefSeq lists it as uncharacterized. The transcript has 3 exons. The record is from RefSeq and is a predicted model, not a curated record. NCBI's taxonomy places the organism in Eukaryota, Metazoa, Chordata, Aves, Galliformes, Phasianidae.